AGUGAACGCUGGCGGUAGGCCUAACACAUGCAAGUCGAACGGCAGCACAGUAAGAGCUUGCUCUUACGGGUGGCGAGUGGCGGACGGGUGAGGAAUACAUCGGAAUCUACUUUUUCGUGGGGGAUAACGUAGGGAAACUUACGCUAAUACCGCAUACGACCUACGGGUGAAAGCAGGGGAUCUUCGGACCUUGCGCGAUUGAAUGAGCCGAUGUCGGAUUAGCUAGUUGGCGGGGUAAAGGCCCACCAAGGCGACGAUCCGUAGCUGGUCUGAGAGGAUGAUCAGCCACACUGGAACUGAGACACGGUCCAGACUCCUACGGGAGGCAGCAGUGGGGAAUAUUGGACAAUGGGCGCAAGCCUGAUCCAGCCAUACCGCGUGGGUGAAGAAGGCCCUCGGGUUGUAAAGCCCUUUUGUUGGGAAAGAAAAGCAGCAGGUUAAUACCCCGCUGUUCUGACGGUACCCAAAGAAUAAGCACCGGCUAACUUCGU
This 491-nucleotide ribosomal RNA is filed under the name uncultured bacterium. Its description in RNAcentral is "partial 16S ribosomal RNA". It matches the Rfam family "Bacterial small subunit ribosomal RNA", at positions 29 to 506 of the family's 1533-position model. The record is from RNAcentral.